This 86-nucleotide small nucleolar RNA is filed under the name Capsicum annuum. The record is from RNAcentral. Lineage: Eukaryota; Viridiplantae; Streptophyta; Magnoliopsida; Solanales; Solanaceae.
UGCAAUUAAUGACGAUUUUUUUCCAUAAUUGGUGAUUAAACAGUGAUUAAUACAAAAAUACCACCAUCUUUCGGCUGAGAUUUGCA